UAAAGUGGUACGUGAGCUGGGUUUAAAACGUCGUGAGACAGUUUGGUCCCUAUCUGCCAUGGGCGUUGGAAAUUUGAAGGGACCUGCUCCUAGUACGAGAGGACCGGAGUGGACAGAUCUCUGGUGUACCGGUUAUCACGCCAGUGGUAUUGCCGGGUAGCUAAAUCUGGAAGAGAUAACCGCUGAAAGCAUCUAAGCGGGAAACUCGCCUUGAGAUAAGAUUUCCCUUAGGCCUUGAGCCUUCUAAAGAGUCGUUCGAGACUAGGACGUUGAUAGGCUGGGUGUGGAAGCGCAGUAAUGCGUUAAGCUAACCAGUACUAAUUGCUCGUGAGGCUUGAUCCU
This 342-nucleotide ribosomal RNA is filed under the name Sideroxyarcus sp. RNAcentral describes it as "partial 23S ribosomal RNA". It matches the Rfam family "Bacterial large subunit ribosomal RNA", at positions 2589 to 2925 of the family's 2925-position model. The record is from RNAcentral. Lineage: Bacteria; Pseudomonadati; Pseudomonadota; Betaproteobacteria; Nitrosomonadales; Gallionellaceae.